CUUGGCGUAAACACUUGUUUCCAUUGUGGUUGGCCACCAAUUGGUGGGCGAGUGAGUUCAAUAGCAACAGGCCUCAAUGUGCUAUCAUUGACGAGGAAGAACAUUGUCCUGGAACCAUACAAUGUAGUGCCUUCAAGCUCCCUUACUUUGGCCACAUAUGGUAAGAGAAUAUCAUGGUAAUCCAAUAUAAAUAGCCUCUUCUGCUUCAAAGCCUACAAAACCCCCAAUUUUGAUUCAGCUGCAAAACAAGAAAAUUUUCAUUUGAGUCUAUGGAGUAUCGAACAGCUAUAUACCUCUUCAACAGUCAUGAAGCCCCUGAUUUCUUUUUCGAUUAUUUCUUUUGUGAUCGCUGAUUCAGGAGGACCAUAGACGUUAGGAUCAAGUUUGCUCGUUAGAGGCCAUUCCUACGAUAGAAAAUUCAAAAAUUUAGUGUUUUAUAACAAGUUUGAUCAUUUGGUUUCAAUCGGGC
Molecule: unclassified non-coding RNA, 469 nt
Filed under: Hevea brasiliensis (rubber tree)
Lineage: Eukaryota; Viridiplantae; Streptophyta; Magnoliopsida; Malpighiales; Euphorbiaceae
Source: RNAcentral